GACAGCCAGCUGCAGCCUUAGACUGUCCAUUUUGUAGGUGACUGGAUAAGCUGGCAACUCUCUUCUUCUAAGAUUAAAUGAAACCAGCACCAUUCCUCAUCCAAGGAGAGGAAAUUGAUUUCUCCAGGUGAACGACAGUUUGUUGGUGGAACAAUGCUGAUGUUAAGCACAGGAGGAGACAGUGUUCAUAUCGGUUGGUGGAGCAAGGACAGAAUGAACAUGGAGACAGUACUCCUUCUCUCACAACAUAAAAGGGAUUAUUCUUCCAGGUUAAGGUUAAUUUUUGUUUACCUUGAAUAUAGAGGUUUUCAGCACUAGAGUCGCCAGCUGCUCCAGGGUCUUCCAUCGCUCUCGUCUCCCAGGGCCCUGCAGAUGCUGGUGUUGGGCUGGAAGAGUUCACAGCCACUAUCUAUCCAGUGAAGAGAAGAAAGAACAGCAGCUCCUUUUAGAACUUCCUUCAAGUAUGACAUAGACAUAUGGUGUAGACGCGGCUAGGUUGAUGGGAAAAUGUGUCCAUCAUCCUAGCUACUGGUGCUCAGGGAGGUGGA
Mauremys reevesii (Reeves's turtle) is the source of this 548-nucleotide long non-coding RNA. RefSeq lists it as uncharacterized. The record is from RefSeq and is a predicted model, not a curated record. NCBI's taxonomy places the organism in Eukaryota, Metazoa, Chordata, Testudines, Geoemydidae. The transcript has 2 exons.